This 1461-nucleotide long non-coding RNA is filed under the name Macaca fascicularis (crab-eating macaque). RNAcentral describes it as "lncRNA (ENSMFAG00000053046.1)". The record is from RNAcentral. Lineage: Eukaryota; Metazoa; Chordata; Mammalia; Primates; Cercopithecidae.
AUCUAGGUCAAAUGGAAGGAGAAAUUAAAAGUUUUCUAUACCAGAUACUGAACCAAACAGUUCAGAUAACUAAUUCUGUAAGCCUCAUGCCAACUCCGUAGGGUAGGCACUAUUUAUUUUUCAUUUAUCAAGGGAAAACAAAUUGAGGUAAUGAGUGCUUAGUCACCAGCACAAUGGUCACACUCAUAGUGACUGGGAAACUGCAUGGAACUCACACCUCAGAAUUCAUGUGCUUACCCACAUGUAAACAUUUAAAUUAAUUUACCCUAACAUUUUGCAUUUCUAGCAUCCAAAUAGUAUAUAGCCAAUAUUUGAUGGUGUUUAAAUAGAAAGUCAUCUAAUUUCUAGUUACUGUAAAAGAGAGACAAAGAGACUAUUAAACAUCAUCCACUCUCAUUUUUGCUUAUUGAAGUUCAUUUCAAAUAGUGACCAAUUUUUGUUUUCCAUUUAUCUAAAAUUACAUAUUAUCAAAUGUAAUGUUUAUGCAUAUAAACAUGGAGAAAUUUGCUCCUGAGACAAGAAUGUAUUGGAAAAAAAUAAUAAAAAAGAAAAAUAAUAAAAAAUAAAAAUAAUAAAAAAGAAAAAUCUUGGGGGAGAAGUGGGUACAGAAGAUAACAUUAUGAUUAAGAUAAAAAAUGUUAAGAAAUGCAAGUAGAAUAACUCAUGAGUUGAGAAUCCCCUCUGCAAUGGUUUGGAUAUGGUUUGUCUCCACCAAAACUUAAUGUUGAAAUUUCACUGUCAAUGUAAAAAGGUUGGAAGAUGGAGGGCUUUGAGUUUAUUAGGUCAGUAAGAUCAAUGAAUGUCUUUCUCUUCAGACUAGAUUUGUUCUAGUGAGACUAGGUUAGUUAUCGAAACAGUGGACUGUUAUAAAGUGAGGGUGCCCCAUGUCUUACCCCUUUUGCAUGCAUGCUUGCUUCCCCUUUUGCUUCUCCACCAUGUGAUACCAGUCCACCCAAUUAUGAGGAAACCCAAGGCCCUCUCCAAGUGUGGCCACCUAAUCUUCAAUCUCCCAGCCUCCAUAACCAUGAGAUACAUCUCUUUCCUUUAUAAAUUACCCAGUCUCAGGUAACAUAGCAACACAAAAUGAACUAGCAAACCCAUCAAGUACAAAUAUCAAUACAUAUUUUGUGAUUGAAAAAUGAUUCUGAAAUGGGCUCUUCUAUGGAGUUAACUUACCCUUUACUAUAUUCCUUUUAGAUAAGUAACUAUUUCUGUGAGUGGAUUUCUAACAGGAGCACCUUGUUUUCUUAUAUAUUAAAAAAUCAGCUACUGUGUUGGUCUUACAAUUUGUUAACUUAACCAUUUGAAAAAAUACAUAGCAAAGGACUUUUAAUUACUUGGUUCUAUUUUUCAUUCAAAUUCCAAUUAAAAACCAGAGAUUCACUUAGCAAUAUUAAUUUCCACAUUAUCAUCACAUUUCUUACUCUGUAAUGUUCAUUAUUUAAUUUUUUUCUGUGCUUA